This 456-nucleotide ribosomal RNA is filed under the name Synergistetes bacterium oral taxon 360. RNAcentral describes it as "bacterial SSU rRNA". It matches the Rfam family "Bacterial small subunit ribosomal RNA", at positions 28 to 503 of the family's 1533-position model. Lineage: Bacteria; Thermotogati; Synergistota. The record is from RNAcentral.
GAUGAACGCUGCGGCGUGCGUAACACAUGCAAGUUGAACGACGGUGCCAUGAAGUGGUAACACGGAGUGGUAUACGGAGUAGCGGACGGGUGAGUAAAGCAUGAGAAUCUGUCCUGUCGAGGGGGAUAACGUUCGGAAACGGACCCUAAUACCCCAUAGUCCGAGAGGUUAAAGGCAGCGAUGCGCGGCAGGAGGAGCUCGUGUCCUAUCAGCUAGUUGGUGAGGUAACGGCUCACCAAGGCAACGACGGGUAGCCGGCCUGAGAGGGUGACCGGCCACACUGGAACUGAGAAACGGUCCAGACUCCUACGGGAGGCAGCAGUGGGGAAUAUUGGGCAAUGGGAGGAAUCCUGACCCAGCGACGCCGCGUGAACGAAGACGGCCUUCGGGUUGUAAAGUUCUUUUAUGUGGAAGAAUGAAGUGACGGGUACCACAUGAAUAAGCCCCGGCUAACUA